Long non-coding RNA from Vigna angularis (adzuki bean), 574 nucleotides. RefSeq lists it as uncharacterized. The record is from RefSeq and is a predicted model, not a curated record. The transcript has 3 exons. Lineage: Eukaryota; Viridiplantae; Streptophyta; Magnoliopsida; Fabales; Fabaceae.
UAAAGGGGUCUUUGGACCUUAUGUGGGACAGCCAGACCCAUCAGAUCAAAGACACAUGACUUUAGCCGGGGUCUUUCUCUUAAGUCAGCUUUCCACUCUGUCAACUUUUUCCUUCUCUCUCUAAAAACUCAUCUUCUAAAUAUUGCUCUGCCUUCUCUCUAAAAUACCAUCCUGUUGAACCGUUCAAUUUUUGAAUCGGUGGUGCUCAAACGUUCACCGCGUCAAGGGCUCCAUAACGGACCGAACGGGUUCUUGUUCCAACCGGGUGUCUUUGAAUUUUGCUGUGAGGAGCACUAUUUAGAUCAUCCCUGUCAAGUAAACUGUGAAGUUUUCCAGAUCUUGUUGAGGAGGUUCCCUUGGAGCAAGAGUUGGAGGAUGCUGAUGAUGCAGUAUAGUAUUUUUAGGAUUUCUAAAUUUAAGUUGGUGUUAUUUUGAAGUACUCUAAACUGUUUAAGUUUUAAGUUAUGUCCUUUUGUGGAUGACUGUAAUAUCAGCUACUGAACUACUAUUCUACUCUCUAACUGUUCUUUUUAUUGGAAUGUGGACGCCUAAAUUAUAUGAUUGUGGUUAUUAU